GACGAACGCUGGCGGCGUGCUUAACACAUGCAAGUCGAACGGAAAGGCCCUGCUUUUGUGGGGUUCUCGAGUGGCGAACGGGUGAGUAACACGUGAGUAACCUGCCCUUGACUUUGGGAUAACUUCAGGAAACUGGGGCUAAUACCGGAUAGGAUCUCCUGCUGCAUGGUGGGGGUUGGAAAGUUUCGGCUGUUGGGGAUGGACUCGCGGCUUAUCAGCUUGUUGGUGGGGUAGUGGCUUACCAAGGCUUUGACGGGUAGCCGGCCUGAGAGGGUUACCGGCCACAUUGGGACUGAGAUACGGACCAGACUCGUACGGGAGGCAGUAGUGGGGAAUAUGGCACAAUGGGCGGAAGCGUGAUGCAGCAACGCCGCGUGCGGGAUGACGGCCUUCGGGUUGUAAACCGCUUUCGCCUGUGACGAAGCGUGAGUGACGGUAAUGGGUAAAGAAGCACCGGCUAACUACGUG
Molecule: ribosomal RNA, 468 nt
Filed under: uncultured bacterium
Lineage: Bacteria
Description: partial 16S ribosomal RNA
Rfam family: Bacterial small subunit ribosomal RNA
Source: RNAcentral